This 301-nucleotide ribosomal RNA is filed under the name uncultured bacterium. RNAcentral describes it as "partial 16S ribosomal RNA". It matches the Rfam family "Bacterial small subunit ribosomal RNA", at positions 509 to 807 of the family's 1533-position model. The record is from RNAcentral.
CAGUAGCCGCGGUAAUACGUAGGUGGCAAGCGUUGUCCGGAAUUAUUGGGCGUAAAGGGCUCGCAGGCGGUUUCUUAAGUCUGAUGUGAAAGCCCCCGGCUCAACCGGGGAGGGUCAUUGGAAACUGGGAAACUUGAGUGCAGAAGAGGAGAGUGGAGUUCCACGUGUAGCGGUGAAAUGCGUAGAGAUGUGGAGGAACACCAGUGGCGAAGGCAACUCUCUGGUCUGUAACUGACGCUGAGGAGCGAAAGCGUGGGGAGCGAACAGGAUUAGAUACCCCAGUAGUCCCUGUCUCUUAUAC